Non-coding RNA from Odocoileus virginianus texanus, 757 nucleotides. The record is from RefSeq and is a predicted model, not a curated record. Lineage: Eukaryota; Metazoa; Chordata; Mammalia; Artiodactyla; Cervidae.
UCAGAUCUGAGCAUGACCCGUCGUGGCCCCCACCACCAGAGGGGGCAACCACAAGGUGUACUCUGACUGGCCUAGAUCAGCCCCCUUGUGGGCAGCAAGUCAGAACACACUGCUUGGGUCAGCCAGCGGCAGGUGCCCAUUCCUGGACCUGGUGGGGUUAGAGACUUGACAAGAAGGAAAAAUGGAGAGUAGUGGGUUCCAGGGAGCAACUGCCGAGCACCUGAUACUUGAAGGCCUUUCUGGCUGCUAGAUGCCGCUGUCAAGAAGGCACCAUCCUCCAGUUCAAUUGAGCAGACUUUAUUGAGCACCUAUUAAGUGCAAGGCACUGUGCUAGGUGCUGUGGGAAAUACAGAGAGUGAACACAGAAAGCCCUGCCCACGAGGAGCUCACAGUCUAGAAAAAGAGGUGGCAGUCUGGAGCAUGGGGAAGAAUGCAGGCCCAGGGAUCAUUCGGCAUCACUGCCUACUUAUUCUUUAACCCCGGACAACUUCUCCGAGUCUACCGAAAGAGGGUGGCGUCCUCUGCCCUGCCACCUGCUUCACAGGAAUGCCGUGGAACACAGGAUGCAGAACCACCUGCAGGAGUUUCAGGAAACGCUGCUGCAGACACUCCCCAAGGUGGUUCAGAAAACCUACCGGGAAGGCACACUGGGAGUAUCAACACUGAGCCGAGUAUCAAGGGGAGUCUGAGAACAAUGACUUCUUAAAGUAAUGGUUUGAGAAUUGAACUUUAAAAUAUUAGAUUUAACUACACGAUA